GACGAACGCUGGCGGCGUGCCUAAUACAUGCAAGUAGAACGCUGAAGAGAGGAGCUUACUCUUCUUGGAUGAGUUGCGAACGGGUGAGUAACGCGUAGGUAACCUGCCUUGUAGCGGGGGAUAACUAUUGGAAACGAUAGCUAAUACCGCAUAACAAUGGAUGACACAUGUCAUUUAUUUGAAAGGGGAAAUUGCUCCACUACAAGAUGGACCUGCGUUGUAUUAGCUAGUAGGUGAGGUAAUGGCUCACCUAGGCGACGAUACAUAGCCGACCUGAGAGGGUGAUCGGCCACACUGGGACUGAGACACGGCCCAGACUCCUACGGGAGGCAGCAGUAGGGAAUCUUCGGCAAUGGGGGCAACCCUGACCGAGCAACGCCGCGUGAGUGAAGAAGGUUUUCGGAUCGUAAAGCUCUGUUGUAAGUCAAGAACGGGUGUGAGAGUGGAAAGUUCACACUGUGACGGUAGCUUACCAGAAAGGGACGGCUAACUACGUG
RNAcentral lists this ribosomal RNA (497 nucleotides) under uncultured bacterium. Its description in RNAcentral is "partial 16S ribosomal RNA". It matches the Rfam family "Bacterial small subunit ribosomal RNA", at positions 28 to 507 of the family's 1533-position model. The record is from RNAcentral.